GGAAACACAGAAUACCUACACAACCCAUGGUCAACACUGGGAAGUUUGGGUGCUCUGUACAUCUGAAAAUGCAGGCCCUUGGGGUGCUGUGUUCCUUGCUGUAACCUGCAGGCAGCACUACUGGUUGGCACAAGAGUCUGAAACAGCAUGGGGAAAUCAGAACAGGCCUUUGUUAUCUCAGAGCUUUGUAUGUGACUGCUCUGCAGAAAGCAGAGUUGUCAUUCCCCAAAUAUGUUUACAUCUCUGUUCUCUGUAGGUGUUAGAAAGAUCUGCAAGCGGGAGAGCGAGCAUCUGUGUGAAAACAAACCUGUCUUAUGCAGUCCUCCAAGUCACCAGAGCUGCUGGAAUCCAACAAAGGUUUUCUACAUACGGUGGUGAACCAGCAGGUUUAUUUAUACUAAAGAAGUUUCUCAUCCAUUAUUGAUGCCUAAAUCAGCUCUGGUCUUUCCCUGGCCUGCAACUCCUCUAAUGUGAGAGUGUGUAUGAAGCAUCUUUGAGUUCAGCAUGGAUGGUUUGCUUACCAUCAAUUAUGCAUGUGGAAGAAGCCCUACAAAGGAAAGAGAAUCAAGCCAGCAAGAAAGUGCUUCCCAUUUUCUAAGUCCCACGGUGCUUUUUAAGCUCCUGUUCUGCUCUCGCAUGGAAGAAUCUCCUAUUCUGCAGUCCAGUCCUCCUGGACCAAUAGGUCAACCAGCCUGGUGAGCUCCACAAGGCCAUUGACACAGAGCAGCUGUUGGCUGCUUUCUUCUCCUGGUAUUACAGUGGAUUGAACUGAACUGUGGCUGCUUCGCAGGAGCAUAGCUAAAAGGACAUCUAUACAGCAAUAAAAACAGAGCCGCCCCAGCCAUUACAUCAAGGAGUAUCAGAUCCUUUGAUGGAAACAUGAGUGUCUCUAACCUGGAGGUAAUCGAGGGCUGCAUCUGACACACGUGGUACUGCCAUCUCGUAAAAUGUCAUGGAUGCUUGACCUGAGAUGCUCAAGCCACAGUUGGUUCCUCAGGGUGGGAUUGAUGCAGUGGUGGGAGGUUGGGGAGGUGAU
Molecule: long non-coding RNA, 1036 nt
Organism: Tympanuchus pallidicinctus (lesser prairie-chicken)
Lineage: Eukaryota; Metazoa; Chordata; Aves; Galliformes; Phasianidae
Exons: 3
Source: RefSeq, a predicted model, not a curated record